RNAcentral lists this ribosomal RNA (468 nucleotides) under uncultured bacterium. RNAcentral describes it as "partial 16S ribosomal RNA". It matches the Rfam family "Bacterial small subunit ribosomal RNA", at positions 28 to 507 of the family's 1533-position model. The record is from RNAcentral.
GACGAACGCUGGCGGCGUGCUUUACACAUGCAAGUCGAACGGAAAGGCCCUGCUUUUGUGGGGUGCUCGAGUGGCGAACGGGUGAGUAACACGUGAGUAACCUGCCCUUGACUUUGUGAUAACUUCAGGAAACUGGGGCUAAUACCGGAUAGGAGCUCCUGCUGCAUGGUGGGGGUUGGAAAGUUUCGGCGGUUGGGGCUGGACUCGCGGCUUAUCAGCUUGUUGGUGGGGUAGUGGCUUACCAAGGCUUUGACGGGUAGCCGGCCUGAGAGGGUGACCGGCGACAUUGGGACUGAGAUACGGCCCAGACUGCUACGGGAGGCAGCAGUGGGGAAUAUUGCACAAUGGGCGGAAGCCUGAUGAAGCAGCGCCGCGUGCGGGAUGACGGCCUUCGAGUUGUAAACCGCUCUCGCCUGUGACGAAGCGUGAGUGACGGUAAUGGGUAAAGAAGCACCGGCUAACUACGUG